AGAUAAGUAAGCUAAGUUUAAAGCUAUUGGGCUCAUAUUUCAAUUAUAGAAUGAAGUUAUUCUCUUAUCUG
RNAcentral lists this transfer RNA (71 nucleotides) under Bemisia afer. Its description in RNAcentral is "tRNA-Met". The record is from RNAcentral. Lineage: Eukaryota; Metazoa; Arthropoda; Insecta; Hemiptera; Aleyrodidae.